CUUUGCGCAAACGGGUGCCCUUUCAUAUGGCUGAGAUUAUACCGUCAUUAUUAACCCGAUCAUGGUAAUACAUGCGAGGGGAUUUGCGUCAAAAAUAAAC
This 100-nucleotide non-coding RNA is filed under the name Rhizoclosmatium globosum. RNAcentral describes it as "TPP sequence". It matches the Rfam family "TPP riboswitch aptamer (THI element)". Rfam says of the family: Vitamin B(1) in its active form thiamin pyrophosphate (TPP) is an essential coenzyme that is synthesised by coupling of pyrimidine and thiazole moieties in bacteria. Lineage: Eukaryota; Fungi; Chytridiomycota; Chytridiomycetes; Chytridiales; Chytriomycetaceae. The record is from Rfam by way of RNAcentral.